AUCGCUUCUCGGCCUUUUGGCUAAGAUCAAGUGUAGUAUCUAAUACAUCGCCAACAAUCAUGAGCCUAAAAAUGACCAAAUGACCAAAGUAAUAUAUACUAUCCUCUGAAGUUAAAAUCUAUUCAUGGUGAGUGUAGAAAUA
Small nuclear RNA from Rattus norvegicus (Norway rat), 142 nucleotides. Ensembl annotates it as U2 spliceosomal RNA. The record is from Ensembl. NCBI's taxonomy places the organism in Eukaryota, Metazoa, Chordata, Mammalia, Rodentia, Muridae.